GCAAAAAGGAAGCCGAGGUGAUUGGUGCUGAUGUUGCACGGAUAAAGCAGAUCUUUGAACAUCUUUACAAGCUGAAAUAAUCAGAAAGUACACAUAAGGCAUGCUGUCCUGAAAGUUUAUAUCUUUCACCAAAGAGUAUUUAUUGAAAGAUCGCUGCUCCUUGAUGUGAAAGAAUUGAAUCUGCUGGUUGUGGACGGCCAACUUUUGGUCUGUACUGGUUCUAAAUUUCUUGCUUUGCGUUUUUCCUUUUUAAUAUUUCUUUAGUAAUUUUGAUAAUACUGUAAAUGUACUUUU
Molecule: unclassified non-coding RNA, 294 nt
Filed under: Hevea brasiliensis (rubber tree)
Lineage: Eukaryota; Viridiplantae; Streptophyta; Magnoliopsida; Malpighiales; Euphorbiaceae
Source: RNAcentral